RNAcentral lists this ribosomal RNA (522 nucleotides) under uncultured bacterium. Its description in RNAcentral is "bacterial SSU rRNA". It matches the Rfam family "Bacterial small subunit ribosomal RNA", at positions 8 to 518 of the family's 1533-position model. The record is from RNAcentral.
AGGGUUCGAUUCUGGCUCAGGAUGAACGCUAGCUACAGGCUUAACACAUGCAAGUCGAGGGGCAGCAUGGGGGUUGCUUGCAACCUCCGAUGGCGACCGGCGCACGGGUGAGUAACGCGCAUCCAACCUUCCCCCUAGUAGGGGAUAGCCCGGCGAAGGUCGGAUUAACACCCUAUGUUGUUUGAUGCGGACAUCUAAAUCAAACCAAAGAUUCAUCGCUAGGGGAUGGGGAUGCGUCCGAUUAGGUAGUAGGCGGGGCAACGGCCCACCUAGCCUGCGAUCGGUAGGGGUUCUGAGAGGAAGGUCCCCCACAUUGGAACUGAGACACGGUCCAAACUCCUACGGGAGGCAGCAGUGAGGAAUAUUGGUCAAUGGGCGAGAGCCUGAACCAGCCAAGUAGCCGUGCAGGAUGACGGCCCUAUGGGUUGUAAACUGCUUUUAUCAGGGGAUAAAGUGAGGGACGCGUCCCUUUUUGUAGGUACCUGAUGAAUAAGGACCGGCUAAUUCCGUGCCAGCAGCGGC